GAUGAAGAACGCAGUGAAAUGCGAUAAGUAAUGUGAAUUGCAGAAUUCCGUGAAUCAUCGAAUCUUUGAACGCACAUUGCGCCCCCUGGUAUUCCGGGGGGCAUGCCUGUCCGAGCGUCAUUGCAACCUUCAAGCGCGGCUUGUGUGUUGGGUCUCGUCCCCCGUGGACGGGCCCGAAAGGCAGUGGCGGCGUCCCGACAUGGUGCCCGAGCGUAUGGGAAACCUCUUCCGCUCGAAUCGGCCCAUGCGGCGCUGGUCGUAACCAAAUUUUUUUACCGGUUGACCUCGGAUCAGGUAGGGAUACCCGCUGAACUUAAGCAUAUCAAUAAGCGGAGGA
RNAcentral lists this unclassified non-coding RNA (337 nucleotides) under soil metagenome. RNAcentral's name for it is "partial contains 5.8S ribosomal RNA, internal transcribed spacer 2, and large subunit ribosomal RNA". The stretch from base 1 to 120 matches the Rfam family "5.8S ribosomal RNA", at positions 35 to 154 of the family's 154-position model. The record is from RNAcentral.